This 784-nucleotide long non-coding RNA is filed under the name Pan troglodytes (chimpanzee). Its description in RNAcentral is "lincRNA". The record is from RNAcentral. Lineage: Eukaryota; Metazoa; Chordata; Mammalia; Primates; Hominidae.
AGGCGCACGGCGGGUAUAGUGGUUCCGCAACCUUGGGAUGUUCGGCCGAGCGCCUGCCUAACCCUCCUGACUGGAGGGUCAGCGGCGGGGAGUCCUGGCCUUCAAUCGGCCAUCGCCACGGCAGAAACUGGGGCCCGGGCCUUCCCCGUCCGUCCACAGGUCUCAUGGGCGCCCGGACUGGGGCUGAUGUAGUUUCCCGACCUCUGACACAUAGAAUCUGGAGAUUAAAGCUGCUCUGCUAAUAAUUAGGUUCCCACCUCUCAAGAUCAUUAGGAGCUUCUUUUCCAAUUUCUCUGUUUUGCAUGCAUUGGAAGGAUCUGGAGCUCAGGACCCACUACCUCCCCGGCCCACUGCAAGCUUGAACAUUUGAUGGUGGACACCCCUCCCUGACUUUGUAUUAUGAUUCACAGGCUGCUCCCCAGAAUACUGAAGCAGAAACUCUAGGAGUGAGACCCAACAAUCUGUAUUUAACAAGCCCCCAGGCCCCUGGAUCCUCCUGGAAUCCGUGAUCCCUGUUGCUCCCUGGCGGAGUUUUCUAGUCCCUCUUACUUGAAGCAUGUCUUUCAGAGCCCGGCACCACCCAAGUUGGGUAUCUGAUACCCCAUCAGCCUGAGUCUCUUAAAGGCCUUUAUACGCAUAUGUCUACACAUAGGGAUUUGGAUUAUCUCGGGAUCCCACAUCCUCGCUGUCCCCUGUCCCCCCGCAACAUCCCCCACCAAUACCUUUCUGAAGUUUUCUAGUCCCUCCUUUUUGUUUGUGCUCCUUAAAGCCCAGCCCCAUGCCU